RNAcentral lists this transfer RNA (71 nucleotides) under Hypsathalia przewalskyi. Its description in RNAcentral is "tRNA-Cys". The record is from RNAcentral. Lineage: Eukaryota; Metazoa; Arthropoda; Insecta; Hymenoptera; Athaliidae.
ACUUUUAUAGUUUAUAUUAAAACAAUAGAUUGCAAGUCUAAAAAAAUAAUUAAAAAAAAUUAUUAAAAAUU